UACGUAGGAGGCGAGCGUUGUCCGGAGUUACUGGGCGUAAAGGGAGCGUAGGCGGGUUUCUAAGUCAGGUGUUUAAUCCCGGGGCCCAACCCCGGACAGGCACUUGAAGCUGGGAAUCUUGAAUAGUGGAGAGGUCAGUGGAAUUGGGGGUGUAGCGGUGGAAUGCGUAGAGAUCCCCAAGAACACCAGUUGCGAAGGCGGCUGACUGGACACAUAUUGACGCUGAGGCUCGAAAGCAUGGGGAGCAAACAGG
RNAcentral lists this ribosomal RNA (253 nucleotides) under uncultured bacterium. Its description in RNAcentral is "partial 16S ribosomal RNA". It matches the Rfam family "Bacterial small subunit ribosomal RNA", at positions 524 to 776 of the family's 1533-position model. The record is from RNAcentral.